GAUGCAGCAGUACAGGGAAGACUAUCACAUGUGAGCUGGAAGACUGCCAACAUGGAGACACGGAGAGAGCAAGCUUUGUUGUUUGUCCUAGAACAAAAUGGCCAAGGCUGUGGGACAGAAGAACCAGGGCUCUGUUCAGUAGCUGUGGGACAGAAGAGAGAAAUCAGCUAUGCAAGUGUUUGCUUUGUCUUCUGCAACUGACCAAAGCGUCCACAGUUCCCCCCCAUAAAACAGUGAACUCCAUUAAUCAAGAAAACUAAACUUCCAGUGGCAUCUACAAAGUCUGCCUCAUGACAGAAGUCUGAAGUAAUAAUCAACAAAGGCCUGGAGAUAAGCAACAAAAGCCCGCAAAAGUAGUCCAUGGUCUAUAACAGCACAGUGCCACAAUCAAUAAGGUUUUAAUACUAUGGAGGAAGAAGUUUUCUUAACACUCCAGGCCUACACAACCCUACUUCUGGAAUUUGGUUUCAUGAAUCAAGAUCCCCCCCCCCCUUGGUAUAUGUCAACAAAAUGUACAAAAACUGACCUAGCUGACUGGGGUUUUGCUGCAAGCUCAGAAUGGUCAUACAAAUGAAAAAAAGAAAUCGGAUGUAAAAUCAAACUAACUUUGUUGUUAAAGAUUUAGCAAUGUAGCCAACCAGAACCAUUUGAACCAGUUAUAUAUUGUUGGUGCUAUUUAGGUACUUUUAAUAAAUGUAAUCUUUUGUAAGAUAAAGAGCUACAGAGGGGAACUCCAAGUGGUCUGUUAGGCACAGGCCUUAAGAACCUCUUAACACUUGGCUAAGAAACAGGAAUAAAUAAAAAUCUUAAGCAUACUUCAUUCAUUGUAAAUGUUAUUUCAUUCAAGGAACAA
Long non-coding RNA from Gekko japonicus, 853 nucleotides. RefSeq lists it as uncharacterized. The transcript is spliced from 3 exons. The record is from RefSeq and is a predicted model, not a curated record. Lineage: Eukaryota; Metazoa; Chordata; Lepidosauria; Squamata; Gekkonidae.